AUGAAAAUGGCAGCGGCGACUGCCGGCGCCGGUGCGGGCGGGCUGGAGGUGGUGCUCUUCCCGUGGCUGGCGUUCGGCCACAUGAUCCCUUUUCUGGAGCUCUCCAAGCGCCUCGCCGCAAGAGGCCACGCUGUCGCCUUCGUGUCAACGCCGCGGAACCUCGCCAGGCUGCCGCCCGUGCCGGCGCACCUGUCUGCCCGCAUCCGCUUCGUGGCGCUGCCGCUGCCGGCAGUGGAGGGCUUGCCGGAGGGCGCCGAGGCCACGUCUGACCUGCCACCCAACAAGGUCGAGCUGCUCAAGAAGGCCAUGGACGGCCUCGCCGGCCCGCUCGUGUCGUUCCUCGCGGCCGCCGUCGCCGCCGGCAGGAGGCCAGACUGGAUCAUCCUCGACUUCUGCCAUCACUGGGUCCCGCCCAUCGCCGACCAGCACAAGGUGCCAUGCGCCGCGUUCCUGAUCUUCCAUGCCGCCUGUAUUGCCUUUCUUGGGCCGCGGUGGGCGAACGAUGCGUACCCGCGCACGAAGCCAGAGGACUUCACCGUGCCAUCCAAGUGGAUCCCCUUCCCGUCCACCACCGCCUUCCUCCACCACGAGGCCCGGCGGAUGCUCUCGGACAACUUUGGUGAGAACGCGUCAGGCAGGUCGGACACUGACCGUUUGUGGGAUGUAUUCGAGCGUUGCCGCCUCACCAUCCACCGGAGCUGCCGCGAGCUGGAGCCUCGCAUGUUCACCCUCCUCUCAGAUCUCUUGCGGAAGCCCGCCAUCCCCGCCGGGAUCCUGCUACCGGAGGCGGCUGACGACCGUGAUCAAGACCACGGGCAGAGCAGCUCUGGUGGCGCCGACAGUCACCAGGUCCUGAGUUGGCUCAACGACCAACCACCCAAGUCUGUCCUCUACGUCGCGCUGGGAAGCGAGGCGCCACUGACUCUAGAGAACAUCCAUGAACUCGCCCUCGGGCUGGAGCUCGCCGGGGUGCGCUUCCUUUGGGCGCUACGCAAGCCGACGGCACCAACAACGAGCACGAGCUGUUGCCGGCCGGCUUCGAGAAGCGGACGCGGGCGCGCGGUGUGGUCUGCACAGGGUGGGUGCCGCAGGUGA
RNAcentral lists this ribosomal RNA (1095 nucleotides) under Triticum aestivum (bread wheat). Its description in RNAcentral is "partial small subunit ribosomal RNA". Lineage: Eukaryota; Viridiplantae; Streptophyta; Magnoliopsida; Poales; Poaceae. The record is from RNAcentral.